UACGAAGGGGGCUAGCGUUGUUCGGAGUUACUGGGCGUAAAGGGCGCGUAGGCGGCCGGUCAAGUCGGGUGUGAAAGCCCGGGGCUCAACCCCGGAUGUGCAUUCGAGACUGAUUGGCUUGAGGACGGGAGAGGAUGGUGGAAUUCCCAGUGUAGAGGUGAAAUUCGUAGAUAUUAGGAAGAACACCAGUGGCGAAGGCGGCCAACUGGCCCGAUACUGACGCUCAUGUGCGAAAGCGUGGGGAGCAAACAGG
RNAcentral lists this ribosomal RNA (253 nucleotides) under uncultured bacterium. RNAcentral describes it as "partial 16S ribosomal RNA". It matches the Rfam family "Bacterial small subunit ribosomal RNA", at positions 524 to 776 of the family's 1533-position model. The record is from RNAcentral.